RNAcentral lists this ribosomal RNA (89 nucleotides) under Actinacidiphila alni. Its description in RNAcentral is "Streptomyces alni Bacterial large subunit ribosomal RNA". It matches the Rfam family "Bacterial large subunit ribosomal RNA", at positions 2836 to 2925 of the family's 2925-position model. Lineage: Bacteria; Bacillati; Actinomycetota; Actinomycetes; Kitasatosporales; Streptomycetaceae. The record is from Rfam by way of RNAcentral.
CCCAGUAGACGACUGGGUUGAUAGGCCAGAUGUGGAAGCCCUGUGAGGGGUGGAGCUGACUGGUACUAAUAGGCCGAGGGCUUGUCCAU